Molecule: ribosomal RNA, 600 nt
Filed under: Thalassotalea sp.
Lineage: Bacteria; Pseudomonadati; Pseudomonadota; Gammaproteobacteria; Alteromonadales; Colwelliaceae
Description: bacterial SSU rRNA
Rfam family: Bacterial small subunit ribosomal RNA
Source: RNAcentral
GCGGCGGACGGGUGAGUAAUGCUUGGGAACAUGCCUUGUAGUGGGGGACAACAGUUGGAAACGACUGCUAAUACCGCAUAAUCUCUACGGAGCAAAGAGGGGGCUCUUCGGACCUCUUGCUGCAAGAUUGGCCCAAGUGAGAUUAGCUAGUUGGUGAGGUAAAGGCUCACCAAGGCGACGAUCUCUAGCUGGUUUGAGAGGAUGACCAGCCACACUGGGACUGAGACACGGCCCAGACUCCUACGGGAGGCAGCAGUGGGGAAUAUUGGACAAUGGGGGCAACCCUGAUCCAGCCAUGCCGCGUGUGUGAAGAAGGCCCUCGGGUUGUAAAGCACUUUCAGUGAGGAGGAAAGGGUGAUAGUUAAUACCUAUCAUCUGUGACGUUACUCACAGAAGAAGGACCGGCUAACUCCGUGCCAGCAGCCGCGGUAAUACGGAGGGUCCAAGCGUUAAUCGGAAUUACUGGGCGUAAAGCGUGUGUAGGCGGAUAAUUAAGCGAGAUGUGAAAUCCCGGGGCUCAACCUCGGAACUGCAUUUCGAACUGGUUAUCUAGAGUACUGUAGAGGGUGGUGGAAUUUCCAGUGUAGCGGUGAAAUGCGU